UACGUAGGGUGCAAGCGUUGUCCGGAAUUAUUGGGCGUAAAGAGCUUGUAGGCGGUUUGUCGCGUCUGCUGUGAAAUUUCGGGGCUCAACCCCGAACUUGCAGUGGGUACGGGCAGACUAGAGUGUGGUAGGGGAGACUGGAAUUCCUGGUGUAGCGGUGAAAUGCGUAGAUAUCUGGAGGAAUACCGGUGGCGAAGGCGGCAUCCUGGACCGACAUUGACGCUGAACGGCGAAAGCUAGGGGAGCAAACGGG
Molecule: ribosomal RNA, 253 nt
Filed under: uncultured bacterium
Lineage: Bacteria
Description: partial 16S ribosomal RNA
Rfam family: Bacterial small subunit ribosomal RNA
Source: RNAcentral